Daktulosphaira vitifoliae (grape phylloxera) is the source of this 1298-nucleotide long non-coding RNA. RefSeq lists it as uncharacterized. The transcript is spliced from 3 exons. Lineage: Eukaryota; Metazoa; Arthropoda; Insecta; Hemiptera; Phylloxeridae. The record is from RefSeq and is a predicted model, not a curated record.
AAUUCACUCUCUCGAGAACCGUCGCUUGUUUUGUUGUCUUUGUUAUUGUAAAAACCGCGUUAUUAUAUCGCUCUCGUUGUAAACUAUUUUUUAUCCGCCUAACCUAAACAUUAUAUUUUUCUUUUGUUACAACAAAAAUCGUCCGUUUGGUGUCAAUUCGUUUUGUUAGCCUGUUUGAAUCGGCAGCGUAAUACGAAACCAAAUUUGUGUAAUAUUAAUUGAUUCAAUAACUUCAAUAAAGAUCAAGGAUCCCAUCACUUUAGUCGCCCCUUAAAAAAUAUUGUCACAUAUUAUGUUUCAUAAUAGCGGUGGCAGUGCAACCGGUAUUUUUGUUAGAUCCUUUAGUCUUACAAAACCAUAGACUUAGUGUUUGGCCGCCCAUCAUUUGUAGCGCCACUUGCAUACCACCGGUUCACGCGAUCGAGUUUUGUUACGCGUUGAGUGCGUAUGGCGAGUCUGGUUUUGGCGCUUAUGCUAUUAAGAACGAUCCUAUGACGGACAGUGGAGCGCUGCAACUUGAGAGCCCACAGCUAAGUUCCGUGAUCGCCAAUUCAAUAGCAAAAAAAAGGAAAAGAAAUUUUGGAUGCCCAUCCACGGGUUCAUGUUUUGAAGAACGUGUCUGGUCCUUGUAUACGGCUUAACGAAGUAACCAGCUUGCAUAUAAAGAAUUUAAAUAUAUAAUUGUGUAGUAACGGUAGAUUAAUUUAUGUAAUAUUGUGUUUAGUAAUAAUAAAAUUUACAUUUGUUCUGUCAAAGAGUAUUGUCAUUAAAUUUUUAGUUAGUCAAGUCGUGUCCAUAAUAGGCGAAGAUACUGGGUGCCCCGACCAAGAGGUGUUUUCGAGUCGGUGGCAUAUCACUUAGCUAUUAAUAAUACACCGAAAACCCGGUUUCAAUCUAUUAUUGUUAUUACUCAUUUAGUGCGUAGUAAAUUUUUAUAGCUAAUUUACCUGUCAUAACUUGAUCAAUAAAAUUUGGUUCAUGUAACAGCAAAUAAAAAUAAUGACUUCUGUAUUUAAUACAGUAAAAUGACAAUAGAAAUUUGGUCAAAAAUCACUUAACUUUAACAAGCUGUAAUGGACGAAUGGUUAAUCGGAUAAAAACAAUCCAGCACAGGUCGCGGCACAGUGAUCACGUAGCAUAGUUGAAUCAAGUAUAAUGAUAUCAGACAGUGAUUAAAAUCACUAUAAAAAAAAAGCGCUUCGAUGCAAAUCUUUAGAUAGUGUUUAAUUUUAAAAAAUUGGUGUAUUAUUCCAAAAGCUACAUGAUCUGCUAGUUCUUUAUUAAUAUCCUGAUUAAGA